CCACCCUCAAACUUCACUUUCAACAUCGUCGUUCGUCUCCCUCAUAUCCGACAUCAAAGUUCAAGCCUAAUUUCCAACUCAUUAGCACAAAUCGAAACAAACACACACUCACGGUUUAUUUUUCCAGAAUUUAGAGAGAAAGCCUUACAUCUAAGAGAGAAAGAGCUAGAGAGAGAGAGAUUAAUGACGGUCGUGGUGGCUAUACAUGAUGAAGACGAUGGUGGUUGUGUUGUUGAGAAGUGGCGGUGGAGACAAGAUUAGGGUUCCGCGACAGUUUUUGUCUUCCGGCAAAGCUCCGACUAAACUCGGCAAUGUUCCGACGAUCAUAUUUUGGAUGUAUGUUCCAGAUACUACAUCGGUCUUCUCAAAGGAUUUCGCUUAGCAAGCUCUUGGCGCCAUUGAUAUGGAAGUCAUACUCUACUGGAUUGAAUCACCCCGAUGAAGAUGGCUGGAGUGAAGGAUAUGUUGAUAAUGAGAAAGUUAGGGAGUGUUGAGCCAGAUAAUUAUUGGUAUAGAGUGUGUGAAGGUGAAGCAGAAUCUGUUAUUCAAAGACCAUGGCACUUGAGAUGUAAAUGUAGACGAAAAACGGACAUAGUUUCAGCAAUAACGGCAAAGACUGAAGGUCCAUCACACAUUCGCAGAUGCUGGAUCAUAUGGUGCUUUUAACUUCUGGGACAAAGAUAACAAAUAAAGACUCAAGGUUUCGUUCCAUUUCGUUCUCUUUGAUGUUGAUGUUGCUCGAUGUAGCAUCUUCUGAUAACUCUUUGUAAGGGGAGUUGAAACUAAAGAUUUUUUUUUUCAGUUGUCAAAGAGUUAUAUAGUGACAUGAAGUAAUGGGACUCCCGCCGGGGACAACCGAACUUACUGAACACUUUGUUCCGCUGGCGCAACGCCUGGCGCCGAGUAACUAGUUAAUUAUGAAUUAAGUUUAGAGUUGAAUCUUGUUACAAUGAACAAAAGAUAUUAUAUACUAAAAGAACUAUUCAUGGAGAAUAGUUCUAGAGUUUACUAGUCAACAUAAUAACAAGUACGGGAAAAAAUAGCAUUAGAAGUAGCUAUUAUUCAGGCCAUGUUUGAAAGAGCUUAUUUUAACUACUUAUAAUUUAUUAACUACUUGGAAAAAGAGUUUUUGUGAAAUGAUGUUUGAGUAAUAAGGUGAAAACGGGCUUUUUAGGCAUUGAAAAGAGAAAUGAAAAAGUCACGUUGUGACUUUUCCAAAAAGGAGAUAAUGAGAUUAAAAAGUCAAUAAGGGGAAAUGGAAUAACUCAUCCAAACAUGCCCUCAAUCUGGUAAUAUUAGGUACAUCACUACAAACAUUUAUUUAUAAUAAGAUGCGGAGCUAGUGUAUUAGGAAGGGUACCCCGUCUUCGUACCAUUUUCGUAGUGUAAUUUUCCCCCAGUUUUAUAUAAAAGGAUGAAAGAUAUCCCUGAUCUAAAAAAAAAAUAAAAUAAAUAAAUAAAUAAAAAAAGUGGGGAUGCCCAUAAAUUUUUGGGCUAGAUCCAACAUUGUAUAUAAUUACAUGGGAAGUAAUCGCCAUCCACACAUACAAACGCACACCACGAAUAGAACAAAA
Helianthus annuus (common sunflower) is the source of this 1574-nucleotide long non-coding RNA. RefSeq lists it as uncharacterized. The transcript is spliced from 6 exons. NCBI's taxonomy places the organism in Eukaryota, Viridiplantae, Streptophyta, Magnoliopsida, Asterales, Asteraceae. The record is from RefSeq and is a predicted model, not a curated record.